RNAcentral lists this ribosomal RNA (260 nucleotides) under uncultured bacterium. RNAcentral's name for it is "partial 16S ribosomal RNA". It matches the Rfam family "Bacterial small subunit ribosomal RNA", at positions 15 to 252 of the family's 1533-position model. The record is from RNAcentral.
GAUCCUGGCUCAGGACGAACGCUGGCGGCGUGCCUAAUACAUGCAAGUCGAACGCUUCUUUUUUCCACCGGAGCUUGCUCCACCGGAAAAAGAGGAGUGGCGAACGGGUGAGUAACACGUGGGUAACCUGCCCAUCAGAAGGGGAUAACACUUGGAAACAGGUGCUAAUACCGUAUAACAAUCGAAACCGCAUGGUUUUGAUUUGAAAGGCGCUUUCGGGUGUCGCUGAUGGAUGGACCCGCGGUGCAUUAGCUAGUUGG